UUGUUCCUACGGGACGCAGCAGUAGGGAAUCUUCGGCAAUGGGCGAAAGCCUGACCGAGCCACGCCGCGUGAAUGAAGAAGGCCUUCGGGUUGUAAAAUUCUAUUAUAAGGGAAGAAAGGUGAUAGGAGGAAAUGACUAUCAAUUGACGGUACCUUAUGAGAAAGCCACGGCUAACUACGUGCCAGCAGCCGCGGUAAUACGUAGGUGGCCAGCGUUAUCCGGAAUUAUUGGGCGUAAAGAGCGCGCAGGUGGUUAAUUAAGUCUGAUGUGAAAGCCCACGGCUUAACCGUGGAGGGUCAUUGGA
This 305-nucleotide ribosomal RNA is filed under the name uncultured bacterium. RNAcentral describes it as "bacterial SSU rRNA". It matches the Rfam family "Bacterial small subunit ribosomal RNA", at positions 333 to 630 of the family's 1533-position model. The record is from RNAcentral.